Molecule: ribosomal RNA, 440 nt
Filed under: uncultured bacterium
Lineage: Bacteria
Description: partial 16S ribosomal RNA
Rfam family: Bacterial small subunit ribosomal RNA
Source: RNAcentral
CCUACGGGAGGCAGCAGUGGGGAAUAUUGCACAAUGGGGGAAACCCUGAUGCAGCGACGCCGCGUGAGUGAAGAAGUUUUUCGGUAUGUAAAGCUCUUUCAGCAGGGAAGAAAAUGACGGUACCUGACCAAGAAGCACCGGCUAACUACGGGCCAGCAGCCGCGGUAAUACGUAGGGGGCAACCGUUAUUCGGAUUUACUGGGUGUAAAGGGAGCGUAGACGGCAGGGCAAGUCUGGAGUGAAAGGCGGGGGUUCAACCCCCGGACUGCACUGGAAACUGCCAGGCUGGAGUGCAGGAGAGGUAAGUGGAAUUCCUGGUGUAGCGGUGAAAUGCGUAGAUAUUAGGAGGAACACCAGUGGCGAAGGCGGCUUACUGGACUGUAACUGACGUUGAGGCUCGAAAGCGUGGGGAGCAAACAGGAUUAGAUACCCGAGUAGUC